RNAcentral lists this ribosomal RNA (1329 nucleotides) under uncultured bacterium. RNAcentral's name for it is "bacterial SSU rRNA". It matches the Rfam family "Bacterial small subunit ribosomal RNA", at positions 28 to 1381 of the family's 1533-position model. The record is from RNAcentral.
GAUGAACGCUGGCGGCGCGCCUAACACAUGCAAGUCGAACGGCACCUGCCCUCGGGCAGAAGCGAGUGGCGAACGGCUGAGUAACACGUGGAGAACCUGCCCCCUCCCCCGGGAUAGCCGCCCGAAAGGACGGGUAAUACCGGAUACCCCCGGGCGCCGCAUGGCGCCCGGGCUAAAGCCCCGACGGGAGGGGAUGGCUCCGCGGCCCAUCAGGUAGACGGCGGGGUGACGGCCCACCGUGCCGACAACGGGUAGCCGGGUUGAGAGACCGACCGGCCAGAUUGGGACUGAGACACGGCCCAGACUCCUACGGGAGGCAGCAGUGGGGAAUCUUGCGCAAUGGGGGGAACCCUGACGCAGCGACGCCGCGUGCGGGACGGAGGCCUUCGGGUCGUAAACCGCUUUCAGCAGGGAAGAGUCAAGACUGUACCUGCAGAAGAAGCCCCGGCUAACUACGUGCCAGCAGCCGCGGUAAUACGUAGGGGGCGAGCGUUAUCCGGAUUCAUUGGGCGUAAAGCGCGCGUAGGCGGCCCGGCAGGCGGGGUCUCAAAACCGGGGGGGCUCAACCCCCCGAAGCCCCCGGAACCUCCGCGGCUUGGGUCCGGUAGGGGAGGGUGGAACACCCGGUGUAGCGGUGGAAUGCGCAGAUAUCGGGUGGAACACCGGUGGCGAAGGCGGCCCUCUGGGCCGAGACCGACGCUGAGGCGCGAAAGCUGGGGGAGCGAACAGGAUUAGAUACCCUGGUAGUCCCAGCCGUAAACGAUGGACGCUAGGUGUGGGGGGACGAUCCCCCCGUGCCGCAGCCAACGCAUUAAGCGUCCCGCCUGGGGAGUACGGCCGCAAGGCUAAAACUCAAAGGAAUUGACGGGGGCCCGCACAAGCAGCGGAGCAUGUGGCUUAAUUCGAAGCAACGCGAAGAACCUUACCAGGGCUUGACAUAUGGGUGAAGCGGGGGAGACCCCGUGGCCGAGAGGAGCCCAUACAGGUGGUGCAUGGCUGUCGUCAGCUCGUGUCGUGAGAUGUUGGGUUAAGUCCCGCAACGAGCGCAACCCCCGCCGCGUGUUGCCAUCGGGUGAUGCCGGGAACCCACGCGGGACCGCCGCCGUCAAGGCGGAGGAGGGCGGGGACGACGUCAAGUCAUCAUGCCCCUUAUGCCCUGGGCUGCACACGCGCUACAAUGGCCGGUACAGAGGGAUGCCACCCCGCGAGGGGGAGCGGAUCCCGGAAAGCCGGCCCCAGUUCGGAUUGGGGGCUGCAACCCGCCCCCAUGAAGUCGGAGUUGCUAGUAAUCGCGGAUCAGCAUGCCGCGGUGAAUGCGUUCCCGGGCCU